Potamilus streckersoni is the source of this 73-nucleotide non-coding RNA. The record is from the annotation of a GenBank genome assembly. Lineage: Eukaryota; Metazoa; Mollusca; Bivalvia; Unionida; Unionidae.
GCUCCGGUGGCCUAGUGGUUAGAGCAUCUGUCCCGCAUGCAGGAGGUCGUGGGUUCGAUCCCCUGUCGAGUCA